Solanum lycopersicum (tomato) is the source of this 1356-nucleotide long non-coding RNA. RefSeq lists it as uncharacterized. NCBI's taxonomy places the organism in Eukaryota, Viridiplantae, Streptophyta, Magnoliopsida, Solanales, Solanaceae. The record is from RefSeq and is a predicted model, not a curated record.
UCUCCCUUGAUUUGCUCCCUUUUGUUAUUAAAUAAUUAUAUACUUUAAAUAAAAAUAAAUAAUAAAAGCAUAAAUAAGAUACAUAACAAACUAAAAUUUUACAUUUUUACUAAAUAUUAAAGGUGUUGCUAAUGAGCCCUCUUAAUUGUUAAAAUAUUGACAUUUUGAAAAUUUCCCCUUGAAAAAUCAGUGUGGGCCUAAGGCCCAAAGAUACAAUUUAGUUUGAGGCCCAAUAAAACUCUUAUUGGGCUUUGGUUUCACUGUAAAGACAAAAAAAACCCAGAGAGGAUAAGAAAGAAGAACAAAAAUAAAAACACCGGCAGCUCUGUUGCUCUCUUCUUCUUCUCCGAUCAUUGGAGGAACAACCAAAUCAUAAACGCAGCACUUCGCUUCCUCCUUUGUCAGCAUGUCCAGCCCCCUAUUCUGUUCCCUACAUACAUCUGUUGGCACUGGAGCUCCCAUAUAAUGUUAUUGUACGGCAAGUGUCCAUGUGUGAGCAUGUGGAUGGCUUUGGUUGAGUCAAUACUACUUUCUAGCUGUAAUAAUUCAUGUUCUGCUGCUAGUUGGAGGCCCUGGAUAAGUGCAUGGAGGUCAACUAAGAUAGCGGUGGUGUGAGAAUCCCCUUCAUGUAGCCUAAUAUCCAGUCGCCUGUAUGGUUCCUAAAGACCCCUCUGAACCUUCCUAUUCCAGGGUUGCAUUUUGUGGAUCCAUUGGUGUUGAGCUUGUAGUUACCCGUCCUUCAAGAAGAUGUAAUCACUCUGCCACUGAUUCACCCCCCUCUGCUUUGGUUUCUCCAGACGAGAAAAAUGUCGCCUUGGCUGUUUCAUAGAACUGCAUCAACAGUGAGGACUUAACCACUACUUGCAAGAUUCUUUUACCUGUACUUUUUUCUGCUGUAGAGUACUGAUCACCAAUCAUAUAUCUCACGAGAGUCUGACAAUUCGGAGAAGGUACUUGUGAUCACACACAGAAUCACCUGUAUGUAUCGACAUGCAUUUUCAGAAUCCUCAGCUCGUCUGAAAGGGAAUGGUUUCUCUUCCAAGUUCAAGUGAUACAGUUUUAGAGUACAACUACUGAGCUCUUGAUGAAACUCGAAGGACUUACAAGAAGGAACGUGGCAAACCAUCUCCAGGUAUUAGUUAGUCAUCGCGUUUCAAUCUGCUUUCGAAUUAGGGAUUUUCUAGGUACAUCUGGUUUGUAAUGUGGAAAUAAGUUGCAAGUUGAUACUCUGUAUCACAAGAUGAAUUGUGUCCCUUUUUUCCUUUGUAGAUUGGAUAUUUCAUAUAUGUAUGCAAUCCAUGUACUGUGUUUAUGAAUUUAGUUGACUCUUGAACUAAGCAUGACAAGAAUUAGAUA